Molecule: non-coding RNA, 23 nt
Filed under: Cricetulus griseus (Chinese hamster)
Lineage: Eukaryota; Metazoa; Chordata; Mammalia; Rodentia; Cricetidae
Source: RNAcentral
GCACUGAUGCGGAGGCCAUGGAG